UACGUAGGUGACAAGCGUUGUCCGGAUUUACUGGGCGUAAAGAGCGCGCAGGCGGUCGUUCAAGUCGAGUGUGAAAGCCCCCGGCUCAACUGGGGAGGGUCAUUCGAUACUGAUCGACUCGAAGGCAGGAGAGGGUAGUGGAAUUCCCGGUGUAGUGGUGAAAUGCGUAGAUAUCGGGAGGAACACCAGUGGCGAAGGCGACUACCUGGCCUGUUCUUGACGCUGAGGCGCGAAAGCUAGUGGAGCAAACGGG
Molecule: ribosomal RNA, 253 nt
Filed under: uncultured bacterium
Lineage: Bacteria
Description: partial 16S ribosomal RNA
Rfam family: Bacterial small subunit ribosomal RNA
Source: RNAcentral